This is a long non-coding RNA of Corvus hawaiiensis (hawaiian crow), 2319 nucleotides long. RefSeq lists it as uncharacterized. The record is from RefSeq and is a predicted model, not a curated record. The transcript has 4 exons. Lineage: Eukaryota; Metazoa; Chordata; Aves; Passeriformes; Corvidae.
CAGGACAGCAUUAGAAUUUUACAGCUAAACAUAGGGUAACUGCUAUAGGCACUUUGUUCUCCAAGGUUCAGAUCGACCUUGGAGUUUCUGUUUCUCCCAAAUUAGGCAGUUUUGUGAGUUGUACUCAUUUGUGUACCCACUUCUGUCACCCAGCUCCAUCCCAACAGAAGAAUUGGGUUUUGAAGAAAAAAAGAGGCCUGGGCACAUUGCUGCCGGUUCCUUCCCUAUGCCACAGGGAGUAUGAUAUAUAUAUGCCCUUGCUCUUGCAAAAGGGAAAUAUCACACAUGUAUGAUCAAUACUGAUGCUGGGGAAAGCUCCCACCUGUCCUUCUAUAGCAAACUCUACUAGGACAGCAAGAGCAUGGGAUUGUUUUUUGUUUCUUAAAUCAUUAUUCUUAUUUUCUGGGAGUUGUAUCUGUGUAGUAAUUUAAGAUGGCAGCUUUCCAAGGCUUUGCUGUGGUUCUAAUUUAAUUGAGUAUGCUGUUUAAUUUUUUAACUUGAGCUUUUUCCUCAUAUUCAAAAGGACUCCCGUUGUCCUUUAUUAUUAAUGAGAUCAAAGCAAGCAGAAUGGCUGCCAUUUCUCCUUAGUCUGGAAGUGAAACUAUCCAUAGUAGAAAAGCUCAGUGCUGUCUGCACUUGUCAGCAGCCCUGAAAGCAAUACCAUCAGCAAAGCAUCUGCCUUUCUUUGGUCUGGUGAGCUGGACACAGACAGUGAGCAGGAAUAAUGUUCUGCCAGAAAAAACAGAUGAGGAAACAAGGAUGGCACCUGCAGAACAGGGGACAGGCUGAAGAGUUACUGUGGGGUGGGGCACUGGAGUGUGCACAAUGCAGGGCAGAAAACCUGAGGGGGAAAAAAAUAGGUUUCUUUUUCUAAUGUGUGGAAAAUUGUGCCUCUUCCAGGCAGCCCAGGUGAAAAAGAAAAAAAAAAAAAACCGACCACAAAAGUUGCCAUCAAUUUUGAUUAGGAAUUUAAAGAUGCAGUAUGACUUUGUACUCUCAUACACUCUGGAAUGUGGUUGUAUUAUUCCCCCUUCGUGGCUUCCUUCCCAAAGUUUCCAAAACAGGUGUUUCAUGGAGAAGCAUACAGUUAUAUUUCCAUAAAAACCAGAACAACAAAAACUCCCCAGAAACUCCAUGCGUAUCUGAGUUUUAACUGGACAGCUCACUGACACUUGCACAGGGGCCAGAGUCCAGGGUGCCAGGACCCAAGGGUAGAAAGCAAGAAUAAUUCUGAAAGGGAGCAUCAUCAGUAAGAAAGAGGAGGAAAAAACCAGCUGAAAGAUAGCAUAAAACUGAGACCGGUAGAAAAAUGUGGUCACUGAAAAUCUCUGCAAGGCAGAAUGAAGGUGAUGGUGGGGAAAAUGUGGGGAAGAUCUUAUGUGGCAGGGAGUGGGAAGCUCUGGGAGGUUUCUUGGCUCGUGGGCCAGCACUGCGCGCAGCAGGACGUGCUCUGUCCUCACACGGAGCUCUCAGGAGCUGCGCUCUUCUCCUCGCCCCGAUCAGCCAAGACCCUGCAGAGAGAGCUGCGUGGGGAGGCAGGAGGGAGAUGACGGCAGCAGCGGGCUGUGAGUACCAGGAGGAAGAGCUGUGAAGGGAAAUGGCCCAGGGUCACCCCGCGUGAGGUGGUGUGAACCCUGAGGAAGGCGGCAGGAGCUGUUCCCAUGAUUUUGCCUCCAGCAGCUCGGGAACAAAGAGCAGCCACGCUGGGAUCUUGGAGCACUUGUAGACUGCUAUGUCAAGCAGUACAGAAGAAGAACAAGCCUGGGUUCAUGUACUGAAGACUGCACAGUAACAAAAGAGGAAAGAUAAAUAUAAAUGAGAGAACACUGCAAGCUCCCAUUCUCAGAAGGUCACAAGCAGCCUAGAAGAAUACUCUAGCAGACCAUUAAAAAACCAACAGCGCUGCACUACAGCACAUUCAGCUUCUCCUUCAUCUGAGGGAUACCUGCACACACCGGAGGGGUGGCUGUAACAGCAUCAUGACCUGCCUUCCUCUACAUCCGGGAAUGAGGCCGGGACAGGACAACGCGAACCACGGGUACAGAACCCCAACUGAGGGGAGGUGGAGGGGUUUGCAGAGCUUUAACCCCAUCACAGGCAUCAUCUUGGGCAAAGCGUAACACGGCCGGCAACAAGGCGCAGGGAACGCCUGGUGCCUGGUGGACGCCGACCAUUGCAUGGCCAACGCGCUCCUCGUGCUUUGUAACGAGGGCAGCCCGGCCGCGGCGGCUCUCGCCUGCCUUCCACCCCACAUCCCGAGCCAGACCCCCGGCGCGGGUGAGGGCGGGCAGGGCUGACCCUUCGGGCCGUACCUUCUGC